CUUAGCAGAGAUGCUUUGGUGCCUUUCGGGAACUCUGAGACAGGUGCUGCAUGGCUGUCGUCAGCUCGUGUUGUGAAAUGUUGGGUUAAGUCCCGCAACGAGCGCAACCCUUAUCCUUUGUUGCCAGCGGUCCGGCCGGGAACUCAAAGGAGACUGCCAGUGAUAAACUGGAGGAAGGUGGGGAUGACGUCAAGUCAUCAUGGCCCUUACGAGUAGGGCUACACACGUGCUACAAUGGCGCAUACAAAGAGAAGCGACCUCGCGAGAGCAAGCGGACCUCAUAAAGUGCGUCGUAGUCCGGAUUGGAGUCUGCAACUCGACUCCAUGAAGUCGGAAUCGCUAGUAAUCGUAGAUCAGAAUGCUACGGUGAAUACGUUCCCGGGCCUUGUACACACCGCCCGUCACACCAUGGGAGUGGGUUGCAAAAGAAGUAGGUAGCUUAACCUUCGGGAGGGCGCUUACCACUUUGUGAUUCAUGACUGGGGUGAAGUCGUAACAAGGUAAGCGUAGCGAG
RNAcentral lists this ribosomal RNA (514 nucleotides) under uncultured bacterium. RNAcentral's name for it is "bacterial SSU rRNA". It matches the Rfam family "Bacterial small subunit ribosomal RNA", at positions 996 to 1509 of the family's 1533-position model. The record is from RNAcentral.